This 382-nucleotide long non-coding RNA is filed under the name Ananas comosus (pineapple). RNAcentral describes it as "long non-coding RNA (ACOM_LNC030022)". The record is from RNAcentral. Lineage: Eukaryota; Viridiplantae; Streptophyta; Magnoliopsida; Poales; Bromeliaceae.
ACAUCACCCCUGUAGUUUCGCACUUUUUCACUUUAGUACUCUUUGAUUUAAAUUGUAUCAGGUAGUAUCCUGUGGUUUCAUUUUUAUCUUUUCGUCAACUCUUUGUUAAUAUUUUGUUAAAUUAUAUACAAAAAAAAAUUUUUAGAUAUGCCCAUCUAUGUUUAUCGAAUAUUCACUUUAGUAUCCUUUAAUUUUAACUUUGUCGCUGAUUUAACAAAAAAAUUUGUGAAAUUGAUAAUAAAAAGAGAAAAAUGAAACCACAGAAUACCAAAUUGAUAUACUUUAAACCACAGGUUGGUAAAGUGAGAAAUUGCGAAGCCACAAUGAUGGUAUUUGAAGUUUUUACUUUUUUUUCUGAGCCCUUUUACUUUUUAUAAUUUUU